GGUCAAUGAUGGUUGGCAUGUAUUAUCUGAAUCUAAAGUUGAUGUUUAUCACCACAUUAGCUCUAGAAUUACUCUGAGACCUU
This is a small nucleolar RNA of Ornithorhynchus anatinus (platypus), 83 nucleotides long. RefSeq annotates it as small nucleolar RNA SNORD45. Lineage: Eukaryota; Metazoa; Chordata; Mammalia; Monotremata; Ornithorhynchidae. The record is from RefSeq and is a predicted model, not a curated record. The transcript has a single exon.